Molecule: microRNA precursor, 77 nt
Filed under: Myotis lucifugus (little brown bat)
Lineage: Eukaryota; Metazoa; Chordata; Mammalia; Chiroptera; Vespertilionidae
Description: mir-9229 microRNA precursor family
Rfam family: mir-9229 microRNA precursor family
Source: Rfam by way of RNAcentral
GAGACACCCUUAUGGGGCAGGACUCACUUCAGUGGGGCUUUGGUGCUCACUGAGUCUUCCCCCUUGAGCGUGUCGUU